This 87-nucleotide unclassified non-coding RNA is filed under the name Pseudomonas azotoformans. Lineage: Bacteria; Pseudomonadati; Pseudomonadota; Gammaproteobacteria; Pseudomonadales; Pseudomonadaceae. The record is from RNAcentral.
GUGGGAGGGGGCUUGCCCCCGAUGGCAGUAUGUCAGGCAGCGCAUUCAUAUCUGACCCGCCGCCAUCGGGGGCAAGCCCCCUCCCAC